CCUACGGGUGGCAGCAGUGGGGAAUAUUGCGCAAUGGGCGAAAGCCUGACGCAGCGACGCAGCGUGCGGGAUGAAGGUCUUCGGAUCGUAAACCUCUGUCAGCAGGGAAGAACGGUCACUGUGCUAAUCAGCAGUGAAUUGACGGUACCUGCAAAGGAAGCCCCGGCUAACUCCGUGCCAGCAGCCGCGGUAAUACGGAGGGUGCGAGCGUUAAUCGGAAUUACUGGGCGUAAAGCGCUCGUAGGCGGUAUGUCAAGUCAAGGGUGAAAUCCCCGCGCUCAACGUGGGAACUGCCUUUGAAACUGGCAAACUGGAGUGUGUGAGAGGAUAGUGGAAUUCCAGGUGUAGGAGUGAAAUGCGUAGAUAUCUGGAGGAACAUCAGUGGCGAAGGCGACUAUCUGGCACAUAACUGACGCUGAGGAGCGAAAGCGUGGGUAGCAAACAGGAUUAGAUACCCUGGUAGUC
RNAcentral lists this ribosomal RNA (465 nucleotides) under uncultured bacterium. RNAcentral describes it as "partial 16S ribosomal RNA". It matches the Rfam family "Bacterial small subunit ribosomal RNA", at positions 338 to 795 of the family's 1533-position model. The record is from RNAcentral.